RNAcentral lists this ribosomal RNA (120 nucleotides) under uncultured eukaryote. Its description in RNAcentral is "partial small subunit ribosomal RNA". It matches the Rfam family "Eukaryotic small subunit ribosomal RNA", at positions 871 to 990 of the family's 1831-position model. The record is from RNAcentral.
AAUAGGGAUAGUUGGGGGCAUUAGUAUUUAAUUGUCAGAGGUGGAAUUCUCAGAUUUGUUAAAGACUAACUUAUGCGAAAGCAUUUGCCAAGGAUGUUUUCAUUAAUCAAGAACGAAAGU